Molecule: unclassified non-coding RNA, 416 nt
Filed under: soil metagenome
Description: partial contains 5.8S ribosomal RNA, internal transcribed spacer 2, and large subunit ribosomal RNA
Rfam family: 5.8S ribosomal RNA (bases 1-120)
Source: RNAcentral
GAUAAAGAACGCAGCGAAAUGCGAUAAGUAAUGUGAAUUGCAGAAUUCAGUGAAUCAUCGAAUCUUUGAACGCACCUUGCACUCCUUGGUAUUCCGAGGAGUACGCCUGUUCGAGUGUUAUGAAGCUCUCAAAACGCAAUUGGCUUAAAACCUGAUUGUUGUUUUGGAUUUGAACUUUGCCGUGUUAUAACGGCUGGUUUUAAAAGUAUUAGCUGGUACUAGAACGAAUUGGUUCUACUCAACGUGAUAAUUAUCUGAUCGUUGAGGACAUUCCUUUCACGAGGAAUGGCCAUAGUAAAUUCAAUGGACUGCUUCUAAUCUGGCUUUAAUUCUUUAUUGGAUUAACCACUUUUCAAAUCUGACCUCGAAUCAGGUGGGACUACCCGCUGAACUUAAGCAUAUCAAUAAGCGGAGGA